UUAACUCAAAUUUGUAUGGAGUUGGAACGUUUGCCAGGUUUGCCUGCGUUUGCCGCUAGGGGCGUUGUUCCAAUUGCAUACAAAAUUUUAAUUU
This 94-nucleotide microRNA precursor is filed under the name Bombyx mori (domestic silkworm). RNAcentral describes it as "mir-2807 microRNA precursor family". It matches the Rfam family "mir-2807 microRNA precursor family". The record is from Rfam by way of RNAcentral. Lineage: Eukaryota; Metazoa; Arthropoda; Insecta; Lepidoptera; Bombycidae.